This is a long non-coding RNA of Hyaena hyaena (striped hyena), 909 nucleotides long. RefSeq lists it as uncharacterized. The record is from RefSeq and is a predicted model, not a curated record. The transcript is spliced from 3 exons. Lineage: Eukaryota; Metazoa; Chordata; Mammalia; Carnivora; Hyaenidae.
UGCUGGAAAUCCUUUUCUCUUCUCUACUCUUACUAUUACUAGUUAUGUGACCUUGACAAGUUACUUAAUCUCUUAGUUUCCUCCUGUGAAAAAAUGAAGAUGUUAAAUAGUAUCCAUCUUAUAGGAUUGCUGUGAGAGGUACAUGAGUUAGGACAGGGAGAGCAUCUAGACAAAACAUGGAGCGUUAUCAAGACUCAGCAAAUGUUAUUCACUCUUAUUACUACUCUUGUAAUUGGUAUGAGUUAGACCAGCACUUCAGAACCUGGACUAUGCCAAGAAUUACCUGGGGAUUUUGCUAAGUUGAAGAUUCAGAUUCGGCAGGACCGGCACGUGAUGUCUCUUUGUGAGUUUCCACCUGCUUAUAGAUGAAGAAGUGAUUUCGGGACCUCGUCACAGAUUUAGUCUGUGUGUCCGCGGACGGCAAGAGUCUUCUCUGGGCUGUCCACGUGUAAUUACUGACGCCACAGUUACUAACAACAAAGACGACAACGAAAACCACGGGUGAGGACAGUAACUGGCCUCCCUGACCGGCGUGGGGCCAGGCGUCUAGCUCAGCCCUUCGCAGGCAGUAGCGGACUUAAACCUCUCAGCAGCCUUCGAGAUCUUAUUCCCAGUCCACGGGCGUCCCGCUCUCCGAAGGUGAGGGGUGCAUCCCUCCUACAGCCAGAGGGCCAUGCCGCCUCCUCCACCCAUCCAAGGACAGGCUGACUCCAACAGUGUCCUCCUUUGGAGCCAACGGAAGGGCCUCAGACACUGAACUGACAUUGAACUCCGCCUGGUGCGGAGCAGCACUGCCACCGUGUGGGCAGUGCGGGGACAACCACGGUGGCCGACCGGGAACCAGCCACAGAAGCCAGCGUUCCUGCACUUACUUAAAGUCUGUGGACACUUAAGGGACUGAGCACCCAG